UCAAACUAAAUUAAAUGCAUAUGCGUUAGAAAAAAUAAAAAUAAAUGAAAAUUAAAAUAAAAUGAGAAUCAAAAUAUUCAAAAUACUAACCGUAGUUCCCCGGCAACGGCGCCAAAUUUGAUAAGCUGUCGUUGAAGCUAUCAAAUUAAUACUACUUUUCAAGGAAACUUCAGUAUUGUUUAGUAGUAUUCAAGAAAGUAGAUAGGGCUAAAGUAACCCUAAGUCAUCUCCCAACGAACACGGAAUUGCUUUCGAAUAUCUGACUCUUAUGAAUGCUAUGCAAUGCUUAUGAGUAAUGAGUAAAAGUGAGAAUGUUUAAAGAAUGUUGUAGAACAAAGAGGAAAC
RNAcentral lists this long non-coding RNA (345 nucleotides) under Vigna radiata. RNAcentral's name for it is "long non-coding RNA (VRAD_LNC005471)". Lineage: Eukaryota; Viridiplantae; Streptophyta; Magnoliopsida; Fabales; Fabaceae. The record is from RNAcentral.